CCUACGGGAGGCAGCAGUGGGGAAUAUUGCACAAUGGGGGAAACCCUGAUGCAGCGACGCCGCGUGAGUGAGGAAGUAUUUCGGUAUGUAAAGCUCUAUCAGCAGGGAAGAAAAUGACGGUACCUGACUAAGAAGCCCCGGCUAACUACGUUCCAGCAGCCGCGGUAAUACGUAGGGGGCAAGCGUUAUCCGGAUUUACUGGGUGUAAAGGGAGCGUAGACGGCAGCACAAGUCUGGAGUGAAAUGCCGGGGCUUAACCCCGGAACUGCUUUGGAAACUGUGCAGCUAGAGUGCAGGAGAGGUAAGUGGAAUUCCUAGUGUAGCGGUGAAAUGCGUAGAUAUUAGGAGGAACACCAGUGGCGAAGGCGGCUUACUGGACUGUAACUGACGUUGAGGCUCGAAAGCGUGGGGAGCAAACAGGAUUAGAUACCCCUGUAGUC
RNAcentral lists this ribosomal RNA (440 nucleotides) under uncultured bacterium. Its description in RNAcentral is "partial 16S ribosomal RNA". It matches the Rfam family "Bacterial small subunit ribosomal RNA", at positions 338 to 795 of the family's 1533-position model. The record is from RNAcentral.